Molecule: long non-coding RNA, 1542 nt
Organism: Paramisgurnus dabryanus
Lineage: Eukaryota; Metazoa; Chordata; Actinopteri; Cypriniformes; Cobitidae
Source: RefSeq, a predicted model, not a curated record
CGAAAAUGUUUGAAGAACUCUUUCAAGAGAUGAUUCGGAAAAUGGGCAUUUUCAUUGGUGACACUUACAAGAGAAUUGCAAAUAAUAAAAUGCUAGAAUGCGAUUUUUUUGACCCUAAAAAUUUUGUAUGUGAAAUAAAAUGUAAAGAUAUAGAAAGAAAAUACACAACACAAGGCCUGGGUUGUUAUUUAAGAUCUGGUCUCGUAGUGACAGCCUUUCAUGUUUUAAAAGAUAAUUAUGAAAUAUCUGUAAGGUUUUUAAAUCAAUCCUGUAAUUUGUGGUACAAGGCUCAAUGUAUAAAAACAGAUCAAAAGCAUGAUUUGGCUUUGAUUCAGUUGCAAGAAUCUAUUGAUGAUCUACCAUACCAAAACAUCCUAAUUAAAAAUGAAAUAGAAAUAAAUGAAAAGAUAUAUUUUUUAGCUCAGGGACCUAAAGGCCUCCAAAAGAAGGACGGCAGAAUUGUUAUGAUUCCCAAACCUAAACAUACUAUAGAUGGUGUACUACAGAAUGAAUUUCUGAUUUCUGAAAAAGGGGUUGAAGGGGACAGUGGAAGUCCUGUUUUUUCAGAUUGUAAAUUGAUUGGGAUAUACCGUGCAGCUGCCAAGCCCACAAAGAAGAGACGGCCUAAUGAAGAAUAUGGCAUGGUUAUGAAGAUUGAUGAAUCUUUUCUAAAAUUGUAGUCAAUCAUUUUAAAUAUUAUAUACUUCAUCAUUUUUUCAUUAGAACCCUUUUCUUUGCAGAUAGCCUGUACCACCCUUUGCUUUAAGAAUGUUUCCUAAGAAUGUUUCUAAAUGAACACAAAAAAAAUCCUAAUAUCCCUAAUUUUAAUGUUGGUAUCAUUUGCUUGGCCCAUUCCUCUCUCUUCACCAAGUACUUUCCUACCCUCUCUUUACAAUACUGUCAAGUAUUGUAAAAAAGGCAAAAAUGCACUUCAGUUUUAGGGGUCAUGAAUAAGAGUGAUUUGACUCUGAGGGUAAGAUGCAAUUCUCAUACUGUGUACUUGUGAAAUUGCCCAUUGUUCGCCACUUCCCGAAGAGAGAUCUUGUGUCUUACCCAAAACAACAUUGUGUCCUGUGUCAAUCUGGAGCAGAGAGGUUCUGAAAUCUUGGGGGGAAAAAUAGGUCAAGUUUCUUCAGGAACUUGAUACACCUUUCAUGUCACCUCAAGUUCAACUAAAUCUGCUCCAGCCUGCACAAGAUGACACUACGGGUCAAGCAGACUGUCUUACUCUCUCUUUGUCUCACCACCCACUCAAAAAAAUAUUUAGGCCUAAUUCAUAAGAUUUAUGUAUUUUGAUUACAUGUAACAUUUCCAUCCAUUUGGAUAACAUACUUUUAAUCUAAAAAAAAAAACAAAUAAACUUUAUAUGAUAGAUAUUUUUUUGAUAUAUGUAAAUGAAACCAUUAAAAUGUAUGUAAUAGUUUUACUUAAUCCAAUGUGUUUUAAAAAUUGAUUAUGUAUUCUUUAUUAAUAAACCCAAUUCACUUAAAAUGCAUUACAUUUAGGUAUCUUACUAAUAAACCAUUUAUACAUUUGUAUAUA